AGGAUAAUAGUUUUAUAAAACAUUUAAUUUGCAUUUAAAAAUUAUUGAUUUUCAAUUUAUCUUA
RNAcentral lists this transfer RNA (64 nucleotides) under Hyphasis sp. REN-2018. RNAcentral's name for it is "tRNA-Ala". Lineage: Eukaryota; Metazoa; Arthropoda; Insecta; Coleoptera; Chrysomelidae. The record is from RNAcentral.